GACGAACGCUGGCGGCGUGCUUAACACAUGCAAGUCGAACGCUGAAGCUCAGCUUUUGUUGGGUGGAUGGGUGGCGAACGGGUGAGUAACACGUGAGUAACCUGCCCCCUUCUUUGGGAUAACGCCCGGAAACGGGUGCUAAUACUGGAUAUUCACUGGUCUUCGCAUGGGGGUUGGUGGAAAGGGUUUUUCUGGUGGGGGAUGGGCUCGCGGCCUAUCAGCUUGUUGGUGGGGUGAUGGCCUACCAAGGCUUUGACGGGUAGCCGGCCUGAGAGGGUGACCGGUCACAUUGGGACGGAGAUACGGCCCAGACUCCUACGGGAGGCAGCAGUGGGGAAUAGUGCACAAGGGGCGCAAGCCUGAUGCAGCGACGCCGCGUGAGGGAUGGAGGCCUUCGGGUUGUGAACCUCUUUCGCUCAUGGUCAAGCCGCAACAAUGGUUGUGGUGAGGGUAGUGGGUAAAGAAGCGCCGGCUAACUACGU
This 482-nucleotide ribosomal RNA is filed under the name uncultured bacterium. RNAcentral's name for it is "partial 16S ribosomal RNA". It matches the Rfam family "Bacterial small subunit ribosomal RNA", at positions 28 to 506 of the family's 1533-position model. The record is from RNAcentral.